ACUUGAAUUCAUUAAAUGUUGGUAGAAAGAAGAGCUCUAAUCUCUGGAGAGGAACGCUGAGGGAUUGUGGGUAUUUUCAUCUCCCCACAAACACUGAGCGCCUCAUUAGCAAGGGCUGGAUUCAAAUAGAGUAAGGAAAGGAGCUUCAAUGCUUCCUUACUUGGCUCCUGAGGAACCACUGGACCUUUUUCUACAAAAGGACAGGAGAUAAUUCUGUCCCACAAUUCCUUGAGACAGCAAUAUUAAAAUUUACGAGGUGCAAACUACAAUUUCUCCGAAAAUGGGCUACAAAGAAGCAGCUUAGAUGAAGUAAGGAAGCAUCGGAGCUCCUUUUCUUGUGAACAGCUCUCAUCAUGACACCACUUACACUACUUCCGGGUCAUUCGCCAACUCCAAUCCAGCACGGCUCACAGGUCUCAUACUUGGACUUUUUAAUCCGACCCGCCGAACUUGUCCAAAUAUUUAAAAAAGAAAAAGAAAAAAAGUAUAAAAGGUUAAUAUUUAUAUUAAUGAAAUACUGUUUUGUGACAGAAACCUGUAGAACUUGCUUUUAUUGUGAAACUCUUGACCAUGAAGCUUCCUGCUCUUUGAAAAGUGAUCUGUUUAUUCAGAAGCUUUAACUCGUUAAAAGUGGAAUUAGUCUGAAACAUUAAAAACAUGAAACGUUUCCAUUACACUUUAGUGAAAUCACACAAAUAUACAAACUCAGCAGAAGGCAAUGGCAAUGGUAUAAAACGGACACAGGCUAUUACAUGAAGAACACUCAUCAUCAUUACAUGUUCAACUAAAUUAAACUAAAUAAAAAACAAGGCAACGGAGAAUGGUAUCAAAACAUGGGCCCUGGCUACAUCCUGGGAGGCGCUGCAUGAAGGCGACGUGGCUGUGAUGUCAUCACGUGCAUGUUUUGAUUGGCCAAUGACAGACGACGGUCGAUGAGAAGACCCCCGAAACGCAGCCAGAAUUAACGACCUCUCCUGAAAUGAGAGACGGGUCCGGAGUGAGGCAGCGGCCGAGGACCCCUAAGAGGACCCAGAGGGGCCUAACGUGGACCAGAAGGGGGCUUGACAGGUGGAGUUAUCGCCGGAUCAAUAACAUAAAGAAAUAAUAAUGAUAAUAAUUCUAGUAUGGUACAGUAAAGACAUCUGACCCCCCUUUACGCUCAGCGAGUCCAGUGGUUUUGCUGUCGCUGUGAUACAAUGACACGGCCGGGUCGGCCAAUCACUGGGAGUGGGAGGGCCUUGGCAAGGGGGCGGGGUCAGGAAACUCCCAUAGCUAUUCAAUGGGAGGUCAGUGCAACAAGUUAUUGAUGAUAAUCUAUGGAUGGGUCGCUAUGUUUGAUCUCUGAUCAAUAUAAAAGUCAGAAAAUAGAUCAUCCCCAGAAUGCACCAGUGUGUGUGUGUGUGUGUGUGUGUGUGUGUGUGUCUCAGUGAGUGUGUAUGUGUGUCGUCUCUACAAACCAAUGAAACUGUGUUGGUCCACCAACAAUAAAUAUCACUCGUCUAAAAAAUAAAUUAGAGGAGAAAUACAAACGAUAAAUAAAUAUCUGACCGCAGGACAACGUUGGACUCUGAGCCACAUUGCUUUGUAUUCUGUUCCAGGAAUUAGACGUGGCCAACGGCCUCUUAAGUCUCAUUUACCUCCCCCCUGCUGUGUGCUGCGCGCGCGCGCACACACACACGCACACACACACACACACACACACUUCUUGCCCCCCAGCUUCUUCCUCUUUAUCAUCUCCUGUUAAUGUGACCUAGUUUCAGGUGCACAGUGGAUUAAACUCCAACACUUUCUCCCCCAUUUCCUCUCCUUUCU
This is a long non-coding RNA of Gasterosteus aculeatus aculeatus (three-spined stickleback), 1812 nucleotides long. The record is from Ensembl. Lineage: Eukaryota; Metazoa; Chordata; Actinopteri; Perciformes; Gasterosteidae.